Small nuclear RNA from Chlorocebus sabaeus (green monkey), 146 nucleotides. Its record names the gene U1. It matches the Rfam family "U1 spliceosomal RNA". Rfam says of the family: U1 is a small nuclear RNA (snRNA) component of the spliceosome (involved in pre-mRNA splicing). Its 5' end forms complementary base pairs with the 5' splice junction, thus defining the 5' donor site of an intron. There are significant differences in sequence and secondary structure between metazoan and yeast U1 snRNAs, the latter being much longer (568 nucleotides as compared to 164 nucleotides in human). The record is from Ensembl. NCBI's taxonomy places the organism in Eukaryota, Metazoa, Chordata, Mammalia, Primates, Cercopithecidae.
CCACUUACCUGGCAGGGUAGAGACCGCGGUCACUAAGGGGGUUCUCCCAGAAUGAAGCUUCUUCGUCGCACUCUAGAGUUGCUGAUCCCUGUGAUUUCCUCAAUGUGGGAAACGGUGUUUGUGCUAGAAGAGGGCUGCCGUCUUUA